CUGAUGCAGCCAUGCCGCGUGUGUGAAGAACGCCUUAGGGUGGUAAAGCACUUUCAGCGAGGAGGAAGGGUUCAGUGUUAAUAGCACUGAACAUNGACGUUACUCGCAGAAGAAGCACCGGCUAACUCCGUGCCAGCAGCCGCGGUAAUACGGAGGGUGCAAGCGUUAAUCGGAAUUACUGGGCGUAAAGCGCACGCAGGCGGUUUGUUAAGUCAGAUGUGAAAUCCCCGAGCUUAACUUGGGAACUGCAUUUGAAACUGGCAAGCUAGAGUCUUGUAGAGGGGGGUAGAAUUCCAGGUGUAGCGGUGAAAUGCGUAGAGAUCUGGAGGAAUACCGGUGGCGAAGGCGGCCCCCUGGACAAAGACUGACGCUCAGGUGCGAAAGCGUGGGGAGCAAACAGGAUUAAAUUCCCUGGUAAUCCACGCUGUAAACGAUGUCGACUUGGAGGUUGUGCCCUUGAGGCGUGGCUUCCGGAGCUAACGCGUUAA
RNAcentral lists this ribosomal RNA (488 nucleotides) under Rahnella sp. 28-12-1. Its description in RNAcentral is "bacterial SSU rRNA". It matches the Rfam family "Bacterial small subunit ribosomal RNA", at positions 383 to 863 of the family's 1533-position model. Lineage: Bacteria; Pseudomonadati; Pseudomonadota; Gammaproteobacteria; Enterobacterales; Yersiniaceae. The record is from RNAcentral.